This 200-nucleotide ribosomal RNA is filed under the name uncultured bacterium. RNAcentral describes it as "partial 16S ribosomal RNA". It matches the Rfam family "Bacterial small subunit ribosomal RNA", at positions 8 to 226 of the family's 1533-position model. The record is from RNAcentral.
AGAGUUUGAUCAUGGCUCAGGAUGAACGCUGGCGGCGUGCUUAAUACAUGCAAGUCGAGCGGUAAGGCCUCUUCGGAGGUACACGAGCGGCGGACGGCUGAGUAACGCGUAGGAACCUACCCCGAACUGAGGGAUAAGCACCAGAAAUGGUGUCUAAUACCGCAUAUGCUCUUAGGAGUAAAGCUACGGCGGUUUGGGAA